Molecule: unclassified non-coding RNA, 244 nt
Filed under: Hevea brasiliensis (rubber tree)
Lineage: Eukaryota; Viridiplantae; Streptophyta; Magnoliopsida; Malpighiales; Euphorbiaceae
Source: RNAcentral
UGUGGUGUCUCUUUCUACCCCCAUUUUUUCCCCUGUAAAAUCAUUUUGUUUCUGAGAGAAAUAUAGUUAUAUGUUUUACUUUCUGAGAGCUUGUUGCUGUAUUUAUAUGAUGCUGGUCAGUCGGGAAGUCCUCGUCGUCUUUCCUGUCUUUUCUUGUCAAGAAAAACAGAAUAAAGCUUUCAAAUUCCAGAAAAUAAAUUUGGGAUGUGGCAUUAAGGUUGGGAGUUGAUGAUGGAACCCGUAA